CCUACGGGAGGCAGCAGUGAGGAAUAUUGGUCAAUGGACGAGAGUCUGAACCAGCCAAGUAGCGUGAAGGAUGACUGCCCUAUGGGUUGUAAACUUCUUUUAUAUGGGAAUAAAAUGUUCCACGUGUGGGAUUUUGUAUGUACCAUAUGAAUAAGGAUCGGCUAACUCCGUGCCAGCAGCCGCGGUAAUACGGAGGAUCCGAGCGUUAUCCGGAUUUAUUGGGUUUAAAGGGAGCGUAGGUGGAUUGUUAAGUCAGUUGUGAAAGUUUGCGGCUCAACCGUAAAAUUGCAGUUGAAACUGGCAGUCUUGAGGACAGUAGAGGUGGGCGGAAGUCGUGGUGUAGCGGUGAAAUGCUUAGAUAUCACGAAGAACUCCGAUUGCGAAGGCAGUUCACUGGACUGCAACUGACACUGAGGCUCGAAAGUGUGGGUAUCAAACAGGAUUAGAUACCCCAGUAGUC
This 460-nucleotide ribosomal RNA is filed under the name uncultured bacterium. RNAcentral's name for it is "partial 16S ribosomal RNA". It matches the Rfam family "Bacterial small subunit ribosomal RNA", at positions 338 to 795 of the family's 1533-position model. The record is from RNAcentral.